RNAcentral lists this transfer RNA (72 nucleotides) under Loxodonta africana (African savanna elephant). It matches the Rfam family "tRNA". Rfam says of the family: Transfer RNA (tRNA) molecules are approximately 80 nucleotides in length. The record is from Rfam by way of RNAcentral. Lineage: Eukaryota; Metazoa; Chordata; Mammalia; Proboscidea; Elephantidae.
GCUUUGGUGGUGUAAAGGUUAAACUCUCAGCUGCUAACUGAAAGGUUGGUGGUUCGAACCCACCCAACAGCU